This 4336-nucleotide long non-coding RNA is filed under the name Solanum tuberosum (potato). Its description in RNAcentral is "long non-coding RNA (STUB_LNC009459)". The record is from RNAcentral. Lineage: Eukaryota; Viridiplantae; Streptophyta; Magnoliopsida; Solanales; Solanaceae.
UCGUCCUAACUCUUUGUUUAAACUUCUUUGUUGGCAUCUCAAAGUCAAUCAUUCUUUGAAUCUCUUUCACAUUUUUAAGUGAAUUGAAAUAAAUGGACAAAAUUCAUUUAGGAGUCAUUUGCAAAUCAGAUUGUAGUUGGAUGAGAAUGUUGAAUAUUACAGAUUGAUAGUAGUGUCUAAGGUGACUGUUAUAUACAAAUACUUUAAGAACAAACUUUUUUCUUACAUAACGAACGCAAGAAAAUAAGUAAGAAAUCUACUUAUUCUCCGGAAAAACAUUUUCCAAAAAGACAUUUUAGAGGCAUUGUUAUCAUUUGGUAGAUCCAGGUCCAUUGCCGAUUUCUAUGGAACACAUUCUCCAUGGUUCCGAACACACUCUCAGAACUUUGCUCGUUGAUAUCCACUGUUACGGACCUCACUUGUGGAAUUUCAUUGGAUGUGUUGUUGUUGUUUGAGUUGAUAUGCCAUGCUGAAAGUCUUUGUUGUUGUUUGAGUUGAUAUGCCAUGCUGAACGCUUUAUAUGGGCAACAGUAACAGCGAAGUGUUCAAGCUCAUGUGCAUCGCAAAGGCGGCAAACAAACCAGAGAACCAUUCCUAAGAACUUGUUAUUAUGUACUGUGGGCAUAGUCAAACAAAUAAGAUAAAAGAAUUUACUGACUUUAUUUCCUUGUAGAACAUCUCGGACUUAUUGAGGUUUGAACAAUCUACUCAAUUUUCUAGAGUCUCGAGGUGAUUCCAUACGAACAAUUUCUCUUCCCAUAUCUCGCACUAGAUCAUGCAUCACCAAAUAACGCCAAUCCCUUUGGAGAAAGUUCCUUUGGACUAAGGUUGAAAUUGCACUUUCAGAAUAAAAACCACACGCGUUUAAUGUUUUGAUAACUUCAUCCUCAAAAAAUUCAUGGAAGGCACACGCAAUAUCAAGGAAAACACUUUGAGUAUCACAAUCAAGUCCGUCAAAGCUUAUCUUGAGGAUCUUUUGAAUAUCACAAUGAGGAAUUGCUCUUAGUUUUUUGAACUCGUAUCUCCAUUCUUUAACGGAUCUCCCUCACAAUCAAGUCCGUCAAAGCUUAUCUUGAGGAUCUUUUGAAUAUCACAAUGAGGAAUUGCUCUUAGUUUUUUGAACUCGUAUCUCCAUUCUUCUACGGAUCUCCCUUGUAAAUGUGACCCCAAUGUCACAAGAGCUAACGGUAGCCCACCUGAAUAUUUGAUUAUGCUUUGUGCAACCUCAACAUAUUCUUGUGGCGGAGAAGGACUACUAAAAGCAUGACAAGAAAAAAGUUGUUGAGCUUCAUCUUGAUUUAAAUGUUUUGCCUUGUAUCUCUCGUUUUCUCUAAUCCGAGAUAGCAAAUGCUUGUCUCGGGUUGUAAUAAUUAUUAAACUACCAGAACCAAACCAACUUCUUUCUCUUGUUAAGGAUUCUAAUUGGCUCAUAUAAUCCACGUCAUCAAGAAUAAUUAGAACCUUCUUUGACCCAAGUCUUGCUUUGAUUAGAUUGAUGCCUUCAGCAACACUGGUAACUUUGACGUCCUUAGUUUUGAGAAUUUGAUUUAGUAGUUUUUCUUGUAACUUGACUAAACCAAAUGCUUCAGCUUCUGAUCUAACAUCUGAAAGGAAGCAACUAAUAUCAAAGUGUCGAAAUAUUUGAUUGUAGAUAGCUUUAGCCAGAGUUGUUUUUCCUAUUCCACCUACGCCAUAUAUACCAACCAUGCGAACUUCAUCUACACAUCCUUUUUGGAGUAACAACUCUAUAUCUUCGACACGAGAAUCUACUCCAACAGGAUGCCAAGCAAUAUCUAGAGGUGUCUGGUUUACCUCUAGUAGAACUUGUUUUACAAUACUUUCAAUAAAUUUUGAUUCAUGUCUGCAUAUUAGCAAAAACAAAAGUUAGAAUAAAAAAAACAACUUUGAUGUGUGGAAAAAAAAUAAUUGAUAACCAACUUAUGACUUUUGACUGAUAAGUCAGUUUGACCAGUUUAUAAAUAUUACCCGUCAACAACAUUUCGCAAAUCCCAUCCAGAUAAAUUUGCGCUAAUUCAGUAAGUGAAUCCGUCCAUUUUUUCAUUCUCUCAACCUCGAAUGAUCGCUCCUUAAGCAUAGCUAAAACUUCACCAAAGUAUCCGGUUUGCUUGCGUACAUGAGAAGGAUGAACAUCAUAGAAAAUAGGCAAAACUAUUUUCUUUAACUUGUCUUUGCAUUCGAGAAUUUUAACAAGUUCAUCAAGACACCAACUAGACGAAGCAUAAUUUUUCGAGAAAACAACAAUGGAAACUCUAGACUCUUCAAUUGCUUUCUCAAGUUCUUUUGAAAUCACCUUGCCUUUUCUUAAUUCCUCAUCAUCUAUGAAGGUAUUAAUUCCAACUUGACAUAAUCUGGAAUAAAGAUGACCUGUGAAGGUUUUUCGAGUAUCUUCACCUCUGAAACUCAGAAACACGUCAUAAGAGAAGUUGGAAGAAGUAGUUGAUGAUUCCCCUACAACAAAUUGAGUAUUCAUAUUUGAUGACUAAUAUAUGGAAGAAUGAGUAGCUAUCUAUAUAAUAUACCAUGCACAUGCUAUGGUUUUUUCUUGGUAACUUAACUAAUGCUAUAUAUUCUUUAAUUUAUUUUGUACAAUUAUUCUUCAUUAAAUUUUGUUAAUUGGGACUUUUUUUUUAAUGAUUCUUUACCUUUUGUCUCAUCUUUAAUUUGUUAAAGACUUGAAUGAUAAAAAGUAAGAUUCUUUCUUCCUUGAAAACUCAAAAGUUCAUCUCUCCACAUAAUUAUGAUGAUGUUAAGCUUGAUGUCAUAAUCUUUUAAUAAUGGAAUUGAAAACAUCGAUUUGUUCUCAAUUCACAAGUUGGAUUAAACUUUUUUUUCUUUUUUACCUAAUCAAGUAGUAUCGCAUAAAUUAUAACGAUAAUUUUUUAAAAGAAAUUAAAACACUUUGUAUUAAUAGUAAAAACUAGGAAACUUUGUCGUAAUAAAACUAACUACUAGUCUAUUGCAACUAUUAAACAAGUAAACAACUAAUAAAACUAAUUGGAUCACUCUUACUGAACCAUUGGUCUUAAUCCUAUACCUAUCAUACUGAUAUAGAGGUGAAUUCAGAACUUAAAAUUUAUGAAUUCUUAUAAAAAAUAAAUAAAUUUAUGAAUGAUAAUAAUUGAGUUCAUAAUCAAAUUAUAUUAAUUACUUAAUGAUUUUCUUAGUACAUAUAAAUAAUAUGAAUAAAAUCUAUUGAGUUCACACUAACCUCUCUAUAAUAAUCAAAUCAGUAAUUUUGAUCCAAAUUGAACUUUGUAUUUAUGAUAAUAAAUUUGUUUGUUAUGUGUAAAAAUAAUAUCCGGAACCCGAUCCGACCAGUAAAUGCUUUUUAUAAAAUUGAGAACCUAUAAAUAUAAAAUCGAAAUGCCAGUAGCAGUCAUAGUAUUUGGAACAAAGAAAAGCAAGGGAAUAACAAACCAUAUCUUCUGCUCCAACUUCACUUUCUUUAUAGUAUUUUUGAAAGGAAAAAAGGGAAUAGAAUUAAAUAUUAUCAGAAUGCCAACCAAAUAUUGAUUUUGUGCUCUAUCCUUACUGUGGGAAAAAAAAGAAAAUGUAAUUUAUUUGUGCAGUUUUUUAAUCUUCCAGGCGUCCCAUUUUUCUAUGGAUUGAAUUAUCAUAAUAUUUUAUGACAAAAUACUGUAAAAUGGUGUAUGACUGUAUGGGAAAUAUAAUAUUUGUAUAUUCCUCAAAAUCAUGAUAAUACCAUUUGUUUCUAACUUUUUAAUUGUACUAAUUGAAUAGAUUAAUUGUACAAUAUACUUUUGUUUAGUUCAAAGUUUUCCUCUUUGUACUUUAAGCUUGUGUGUCACGUCAGUAUAGGGUGUCCACGAGACACAUUAAGGGUGAGUUGGAGUGUUUAGCUGUUAGUUGAGAUGUCUAUAUGUACACUUUUAAUUAGUUACGCUUGCGAAAUUUUAAUUGGAUGACAAAACUAGGAUCGAAGUUUCGAGUGGUUAGCAUCUGACGGAUGAAAAAAAAAUCUAAAUGAAAAAUACUUUUUAGCGAAUCAGCUUGUAGUUGGAUGAGAAUUUUGAAUAUUACAGAUUGAUAGUAGUGUCUUAGGUGUUAUAUACAAAUACUUUAUGAACAAACGUUUUUCUUACAUAACGAUCACAAGAAAAUAAGUAAGAAACCUACUUAUUCUCCGGAGAAACAUUUUCCAAAAAGACAUUUUAGAGGCAUUGUUAUCAUUUGGUAGAUCCAGGUCCAUGGCCUACUUCUAUGGAACACAUUUUCCAUGGUACAUAACACAUUCUCAGAACUUUGCUCGUUGAUAUCCACUAAUACGGACCUCACUUGUGGGAUUUCACUGGAU